RNAcentral lists this ribosomal RNA (210 nucleotides) under uncultured bacterium. Its description in RNAcentral is "partial 16S ribosomal RNA". It matches the Rfam family "Bacterial small subunit ribosomal RNA", at positions 524 to 731 of the family's 1533-position model. The record is from RNAcentral.
UACGGAGGGUGCAAGCGUUGUCCGGAUUUAUUGGGUUUAAAGGGUGCGUAGGCGGCCCCUGUAAGUCAGUGGUGAAAUACUGCAGCUUAACUGUAGCAUUGCCAUUGAUACUGUAGGGCUUGAGUACAGAUGAGGUAGGCGGAAUUGAUGGUGUAGCGGUGAAAUGCAUAGAUACCAUCAAGAACACCGAUUGCGAAAGGCAGCUUACUA